This is a non-coding RNA of Cordylochernes scorpioides, 65 nucleotides long. NCBI's taxonomy places the organism in Eukaryota, Metazoa, Arthropoda, Arachnida, Pseudoscorpiones, Chernetidae. The record is from the annotation of a GenBank genome assembly.
AGUAGAGUGGCGCAGUGGAAGCGUGUUGGGCCCAGAGGUCCGUGGAUCAAAACCACACUCUGCUA